This 1178-nucleotide long non-coding RNA is filed under the name Piliocolobus tephrosceles (Ugandan red Colobus). RNAcentral describes it as "lncRNA (ENSPTEG00000028789.1)". The record is from RNAcentral. Lineage: Eukaryota; Metazoa; Chordata; Mammalia; Primates; Cercopithecidae.
UUACUAUGAUAAUCCAUACGUUCAUUAUUUUUAUUAUUACUAUUACUGUUACCACUUAAAUUGGAGUAAUUGUUUUCAUUGUAGUUAUUGCUUUUAUUUUGUUUAGGUUGGUACAUACUUUUUUUAUAAUUAACGUGUUCGUCUUUUUCAGUUUGUUUGUUAUUUGCAUGUUUCUUAUAAUUUUGAUGCUCAUUGGGUUUGGGGCCAUUUGAUUGAUAGUCAUUUGACUUGAAACCAUUUGGCUUGGAACUAUUUGACUUGGGACCNNNNNNNNNNUCAUUUGACUUGAAACCAUUUGGCUUGGAACUAUUUGACUUGGGACCACUUGACUGAUAAUCAUUUGACCUGGGACCAUUUGGCUUAGAACUAUUUGACUUGGGACCAUUUGGCUUGAAAUUAUUUGACUUGGGACCAUUUGACUGAUAAUCAUUUGACCUGGGACCACUUGACUGAUAGUCAUUUGACCUGGGACCAUUUGACUUGGAACCAUUUAACCUGGGACCAUUUGACCUGGGCCCACUUGACUUAGGACCACUUGAUUGAUAGCCAUUUGACUGAUUGUUGUUAUUUCUAUUGACCCAAUUAUUCUGUGCAUUGUUAUUAUGAUUAUUUCUAUCCCUUUCUUCCUUUCUACCCAUUGUAUUACGAUUAUUAUUCAACAUGUUAUCAAAAACGACAUAUUUUCCUUUCUUCUGGUUUAAAGCUGCGUUAUCUAAUUUAUUUGGGUUUUUCCUCUUUGAACUUGAAAAAGCAUCAUUAUCCAUAUUUUUUUUUUUUUUUUUUUUUUCUAUAAAUCCGUUGCGUUCGUCUUUUCCGCUAUUUCCGUCCUUUCCUACUUUAACUUAUUACGUUAUUGUUAGACCCCCUUUUUUUUUCUUAUUUAAGUUGUUUCGUCCUAUGUUUCGUCCUACGUUUCGUUCUACGUUUCGUCCUACGUUUCGUUCUACGUUUCGUCCUACGUUUGAUUACGUUUGAUUACGUUUGAUUAUGUUUGAUUAUGUUUGAUUAUGCUUGAUUUUUUUUUUUUUUUUUUUUUUAUACAACUUAUUUACAAAUAUUAAAAAAAAAAAUAAGCACUUGUAUGAGUAACUUGUGGCAACAUACAAAGUACAUACAAACUUAAAAUAUGUGUAUAUUUUAACUAUUAAACAUAGUAAUAAAAAAAAAAAAUGCAUGCA